UACAGAGGGGGCAAGCGUUGUUCGGAAUCACUGGGCGUAAAGCGCACGUAGGCGGAUCUUUAAGUCAGGGGUGAAAUCCUGGAGCUCAACUCCAGAACUGCCUUUGAUACUGGGGAUCUCGAGUCCGGGAGAGGUGAGUGGAACUGCGAGUGUAGAGGUGAAAUUCGUAGAUAUUCGCAAGAACACCAGUGGCGAAGGCGGCUCACUGGCCCGAUACUGACGCUGAGGUGCGAAAAGCGUGGGGAGCGAACAGG
RNAcentral lists this ribosomal RNA (254 nucleotides) under uncultured bacterium. Its description in RNAcentral is "partial 16S ribosomal RNA". It matches the Rfam family "Bacterial small subunit ribosomal RNA", at positions 524 to 776 of the family's 1533-position model. The record is from RNAcentral.